CUCUUCAUUGGUAUUAGGAUUUUUGGGAAAGUUCAAAGUAAAGCUAAGAGAACUUAUGUUUAAAGUGGACAAUAUCAUACCAUCGUAGAGAGUCGUGUUCAUCUAAUAAUUGCUUCCUCCGGUUACGUACAUCUUAUCACUGAGAAAAAGUGCCAAGAAAGUUUGCUUUUAUUUCUAAAUUAUUGAAUUAGUGGAACUACUAAUCGCAUGUUCUAAAUCUAUCUUAGGGAAGCUUCUUUGCUGCUAGAAUGGGAAUCUAGAUGUAAUAUAGGUCCUUAUAGAUUUCUAUGGUAUUGAGUGAGAAGGAGGCGACUAGGUCUUGAACUUUCAAUAGCAUGUGUUGGAAGGCUGUGGAGGAAGGGUAUCGGGAAUUGUACCCUGACGAUAGAAGUACAAAUCAUUCUACGAGAUUCUCGGAGUUCGAACAGGACAAAUUAUACGGUGAUCUUCUGUUGGUCCUGGCCUUAGAAAAAGGAGAGUGAUUCAGUGUUAUGGGCCAGAAAACUCAAAGUUACAGAUUGGACGAUGGUUCUGAACUGAGAAAAUUUAGUUCCAUUUCGAACUUUUGGGAAAGUGUGGUUCUUCUUUAUGUAACUUGGAGUACUAACUCGUCGGAAUAAAAUCAUGAGUAUGUAAGUAAGAGACAAUUGGUAUGAGAUCUUUAGUAUGAGAUCUUUUGGAGAAACUAAAAGCGAAACCAUUUAUGCUCAAAAUAAACAAUGUGAUACUAAUGUGUAGAGUCGUUUCCUAACAGCUAUUACGGUGUUCUUAUAGAUUUCCGGUGCUGUAUGUACGUGGGUCAUCGAGCUCUUUGAUUCCUUUUGGAACAGGGAAGAUAUUUGAACCCAUUUUUUAUAUGCUAAACCAUUCCAAAAUACAAUCAAGUUCUGUGGCUUUUGCUUGCUGCUGAAAACUGUUGAUGUUGGGCUUUUGCUUGUGUUUCUGUAUCUGUCUGCUGGACUUGUUUUCACUGAUAAAACAAACAGGCUCUGAAGCGAAGCCAAAAAUUGACUUACUUACUUCUCAUUAAUCAACAUCCGUACGUAGAAUCUGCUGGUUUUGAAACCAGUUCUUGCAAGGUUGAUAUGAUUAAAGUACUUCCUUCAUAUCUGAGAAAGUUGAUCUGCUGAAGAUUUUGUUGCUUAUGGGAGUUUUUUUCCUUUAGACCAAAGCUGAGUAGCAUGAUUUGUGAUAAAACACCCUUCCCAUGUGGGCCUAAUUUUUCGGAUGUUAUCCUCUUUGAAAUUUUUCCUUAAGUUCUUUAAAAUGCGUUUGCUAGUGAGAAAUUUCUACACCCUUAUAAAGAAUGUUUUAUUCUCAUCCUCAACCGACAUGAGAUCUCACAAUUAUUAUGUAAUGGAAUCGGCUCCACAUCAAUUGUGCUAUUAUCUUUUCUUUUCCCUUUGUUUUUCUUUUUCGUCAUUAUCAUCUCUGCUCAAGUUUUUAUGUUCUUUUAUGGCUAUUAUAAAUCACACUGUCAUCUGGGAUGGUGCAUAAGUAGUCUGGCCUCCCUCUUAAACUAUGACUUUUUUCCAAAAUUCUCAUAUUUUCAGGUGUCUUAUUUGAUCUGUAAACGUGUCUAAAGUAUGUGUUGAUUUCGUUUAUAGCAUGUUAAAGUAAAAUCAUUCCGAAGUAAACCAAUUGAACAAGAAACAUCACAUCACUUACUACAAUUCAAUAAAGUGCUUAUCUACAGAGAAAAAGGCAAGAGAGAGGAUAGCAAUCUGCAGGUAAAUAACACUUUGAAGCUCAGAGCUAUGAAAGCAGCAGCCCCCUCUAUUGAAAGGAAAAAUGGAGGAAUAAUAAAUGAAGCCUUUUCAAGCUGCAGGUCACUCCCAACCCAGCUAACAGUCAUUAUGCAACAUCUCAACCUUCUACAGCUUCAAUGGCAGCCUUUGCAAGGAAAAAGAGAGAGAGAGCUAAGGCUCUGUUUGACAGUCCCACCUAUUUGUCUAAAACGAGUUGUGCCACUGCCACCCUCAUGGAUGCUUGGUUGUUCCUCACUCACCCACCGAAAGAAGGGUGAAUCAAUGUAGAUUCUUUUGUACGGACGGCGGCAGUCCAGAGAUUGAAGAAGCCUUAUGUUUUUCCUCGAUGUGCGGUGGAGCAUGUGGU
Long non-coding RNA from Cucurbita moschata (crookneck pumpkin), 2115 nucleotides. RefSeq lists it as uncharacterized. Lineage: Eukaryota; Viridiplantae; Streptophyta; Magnoliopsida; Cucurbitales; Cucurbitaceae. The record is from RefSeq and is a predicted model, not a curated record. The transcript has 3 exons.